This 484-nucleotide ribosomal RNA is filed under the name uncultured Methanolinea sp. RNAcentral describes it as "bacterial SSU rRNA". It matches the Rfam family "Archaeal small subunit ribosomal RNA", at positions 854 to 1338 of the family's 1478-position model. The record is from RNAcentral. Lineage: Archaea; Methanobacteriati; Methanobacteriota; Methanomicrobia; Methanomicrobiales; Methanoregulaceae.
ACUUAAAGAAUUGACGGGGGAGCACCACAACAGGUGGAGCCUGCGGUUUAAUCGGACUCAACGCCGGGAAACUCACCAGUUAAGACAGCUGAAUGAUAGUCGGGCUGAAGACUCUACUUGACUAGCUGAGAGGAGGUGCAUGGCCGUCGUCAGUUCGUACUGUGAAGCAUCCUGUUAAGUCAGGCAACGAGCGAGACCCACGCCAACAGUUGCCAGCGUACUCUCCGGAGUGACGGGUACACUGUGGGGACCGCCGCUGCUAAAGCGGAGGAAGGAAUGGGCAACGGUAGGUCAGUAUGCCCCGAAUAUCCCGGGCUACACGCGAGCUACAAUGGUUGGUACAAUGGGUAUCUACCCCGAAAGGGGACGGGAAUCUCCUAAAACCAAUCUUAGUUCGGAUUGUGGGCUGCAACUCGCCCACAUGAAGCUGGAAUCUGUAGUAAUCGUGUCUCAAAAUGGCACGGUGAAUAUGUCCCUGCUCCUU